Long non-coding RNA from Cannabis sativa, 577 nucleotides. RefSeq lists it as uncharacterized. The record is from RefSeq and is a predicted model, not a curated record. The transcript is spliced from 4 exons. Lineage: Eukaryota; Viridiplantae; Streptophyta; Magnoliopsida; Rosales; Cannabaceae.
CGGUAAUAAUUCCCUUUUUCCCUUUUAUCUAUUAACUAAAACCAUUUACAACCCUAAUAUCUUUCCUCUGCCGUAGUUUAAGUUUUGGCCCUCGUUUCUUCCAUAAGAAGAAAGAUAGUGUACCACUUACAGUGUAAUUACCCUUCUUUGUUGAGGGGCAUAAUUCUUGUACCCGGAGCAACUGAGUAUUUCACAAACAAAAGACUUAGAGAGUUUGGGAGAUGAGUUAAGGGCCACCUUAAUUCUUGAGCUCGACAGGGCAACGAAGGAGUAAGGUUAGUAUGUGCCCUACUGUGACGAGAGAUGGCUAGCCAGAGGAGAGCCCAUGGGAUUUUAUAGCUCAGCAAGCCCUGCAGGCUCAGGCUUAACCGAACAGUAAAGCUAUAAAUAAGUAGAUGGGGUGAGUUGGAGCAUAGUCCUAACCCUGGUGGUGUACAUAUGGAUAUUUUGACCGCGUGGAAGGGUCUAACCCUAUACUUUUGAUUCCUCUAUGUGCUCUUAGUAGUCAAGUGUAAUAAUAGACACUUAUGUGUAUAUGUUUGGAUGUAACUAAUAGUAGGAACUCUAUUUAAAGGUA